This 471-nucleotide ribosomal RNA is filed under the name Clostridioides difficile. RNAcentral describes it as "partial 23S ribosomal RNA". It matches the Rfam family "Bacterial large subunit ribosomal RNA", at positions 1394 to 1874 of the family's 2925-position model. The record is from RNAcentral. Lineage: Bacteria; Bacillati; Bacillota; Clostridia; Peptostreptococcales; Peptostreptococcaceae.
AGCUGAGGCCGAAAGGCGUAGGUGAUGGACAACAGGUUGAUAUUCCUGUACUACCGAUAACCGUUUGAGAGAAGGGAUGACACAGUAGGAUAAGCUAAGCACACUGUUGGUUAUGUGUGCCCAAGCAUUGAGGCAGUCAAAGUAGGCAAAUCCGCUUUGAUAAUGCUGGGAUGUGAUGGGGAGCGAAAUUUAGUAGCGAAGUAGCUGAUUUCACACUGUCAAGAAAAGUCUCUAUCGAGGUUAAAGGUACCCGUACCGCAAACCGACACAGGUGGGUGAGGAGAGUAUCCUAAGGCCAGCGAGAGAACUGUUGUUAAGGAACUCGGCAAAAUGACCCCGUAACUUAGGGAUAAGGGGUGCCACCAUCAGGUGGCCGCAGAGAAUAGGCCCAAGCGACUGUUUACCAAAAACAUAGGUUUCUGCUAAGUCGCAAGACGAUGUAUAGGAGCUGACGCCUGCCCGGUGCUGGAA